AUUUUUUUUUUUGUGAUUUUGAAGAAUGUACCCAUGUUUUGAUACAAUAAAUAUUUUGGUUAAUUUUGAUGAAUGUACGCAUGUUUUUAUACACACACACACAAUAGUAUAUUUAUAUUUUAAUAUUUUUAAUCCCACAAAUUAUGGUUUUUUUAUUUAAAAUCUCAUUUAUAUAAACAACUAAAAUUUCUAAUUUUUAAUUUAAAAAAUAUAGUAACGUACAUAGAAAUAAAUUAUCACAUUAAUUUCAGGGACCUCAAUAAAAAAUUAAAAACCAACAAAGUUUCAAUCAAAGAAUAUUCAUAACCAAGAUCUGUAUCCAAACUCUCCCUUAAAAAAAACAUUGAAAACUAAGCAUGAAAAAAAUUAACACUUCCAAACAAAAUUUAAAAGCUUCAAAACCAGGUUUUGUCCGUCACAUGCAUUCAAAUCGGGCCACGUAAACUUGUCGGUGACUUAACCAGCAAUUAUCACCCUAUCCAAUGAUUUUUAUAUUGAUAGAGUGCAUAUAAAUAUACAACACACACAUUGUUUGAUUCAUGCCGCGGUGGUUUGAUAUUAUUGUACUUUAAAAAAUCAUUUUAUAAACAGUGGCGAAAUAAAGCAUUAUGAUUUUUGGUAAAUUUUUUGUAAAAGUGUUUUUAACAAAAAAAAAUACAAUGUUAUAGUGUUUGGUAAAUUUUUAUGUAAAACAUUUGUUAUUGUGCACAAUGAUUAAAAAAAUAUGAUAUUUAAUAUUAUAUAAUAAUUUUUUAUCUUUUCUUUUAUUUUGAUAUUUACAAUAUUUAUAUAAACUAUUUACUAAACAGCUGUACUCUUUUACCCCUUUUUUUAUUAAGAUAUUUAUAAUUUUUUAAUUCUAUUCUUUUCUACAAGGGGUCGUUUUUCUUCUUUUACUUUAUUUUUGCAGAACCUCUGUAUUUUCUCUCUUCUGCCCCUCACUCCCUCUCUCCCCCUUCUCUCUCUGUCUCUCUCUACCAGAUCCUAAGGAAGGCUGGGUCAAAUCAACCGAUUCGCAAAGGAAGGAUGGACUCCAAUUUCGGGACUUACCGUCGGUGUUAGCAUCGAGGUCGUCUCGUUGAGAUUUUGGGUGUCAAGCAGAAGGGUGCAAAUCUAGCAUUCUUUGUGCAAGAUUUUGACAAAGCCUAGAAAUCAAACAAACCUCUUGCCGCUCUUGUCCAAGAAAUCCAAAGAAGCUCAGAGUGAGAGAGGACAUAAGAGAGGUAAAAAAAAAAAACCAGUUUUUUCAAAGCUGGGUUUUGCAGCUUCGUGUUUUUGGUUUUUUUUUCCUCCCAAAACUAUGAAAAAAAACUGAAGUUGAAUGUUUACCAAACACGAAAAAGUUGGCUCCUAGCUUUUUUGAUACCCACUUUUUCAAAAGCAACUCAGUCCCAAAUCAUUACUAAGUGUCUCCAUAUAUUUACAUCAAUCACUGAAAUUAAGAUGAGCAGUCCUUCCUCACCAGCUUCAAUUCCAGGUCCUAAAAGGUACGCUUAAUUUUCAUCAUUCAAUGUCUAGCCUCCGGCAGGGCUUAUAGCUCAUCUGGUUAAGGUAGCUCGAGGUUCAGGGUUUGAAUUCCUAGUUUGUCCUACAUUUACUAAUUAGUGUCUCAUUUGUCAUCAUUAAUUUUCAGGUUAGAAGGCAAAGUGGCAAUUAUCACCGGAGGUGCUAGUGGAAUUGGAGAGAGCACUGCAAGAUUGUUUGUGUUCCAUGGUGCAAAAGUCGUCAUAGCCGACGUCCAAGACGAACUAGCCCUGUCCCUCUGCAAAGAACUCGACCCAGACGGAGUUUCCAUUUCGUACAUACGUUGCGAUGUCACUGUCGAUUCGGAUGUGAAAAAUGUUGUAGACGUGGCUCUGUCGAAGUACGGAAGGCUUGACAUCAUGUACAACAAUGCAGGCAUAUCCGGCAAAUUGGACCCAACUAUUUUGGGUGCUGAUGGCGAAAACUUCAAGAAAGUGUUUGAUGUGAAUGUCUAUGGUGCUUUCUUGGGCGCCAAGCAUGCUGCUAGGGCAAUGAUCCCUGCUAAAAAAGGUGUCAUUCUUUUCACUUCAAGCGUGGCGUCAGUGACUUGCGGCCAGUCUACACACGCAUACGCCAUGUCGAAGCACGCGGUGGUGGGACUUAUGAAAAGCUUGUGCGUGGACUUGGGGCAGCACGGGAUUAGAGUCAAUUGCAUAUCUCCGGGUGCCAUGGCAACCCCGUUUCUGACGAAUCUUUUGGGGAUUGAAAGAAAUACGGUUGAGGAGAUGAUCUGCGCUUCGGCGGUGUUGAAAGGAGUGGUGCCGAGGGCAGAGGAUGUGGCGGAGGCUGCCGUGUACUUGGCGAGUGACGAGUCCAAAUUUGUGAAUGGACUGAACUUUCUUGUGGAUGGAGGUUAUAGCACCACUAAUCAGUCUCUUAGUAUGGUUUUGAGGAAUUUCAUGUCGUCAAACCAGGUUUUGUAAGCAUCAUCCAUUUGUUGUGCUAUGUUUUGAUCCUUUGUGCUUCCUCUUUUAGAGUAUUAUGAAAACUUCAUUCAAACUAGCAAGCAAAAAUGUCUGCGCGGUGCUGCAGGUUUUAAGAUCGUAUAAGAUGAUACUAUUGCUUAUAUACAUUUGUUUGGUAGUAUAAGUUAGAAAAGGUAGCUUGAUAACAUGUUUUAGAUGCUGCUUGUCAUAUUGUAGUAAGCCUUGUGCUAUUUACAUGCAUUGUUUGAGAAUGCUAAAUUCCGUACAAAUGAAAAGAGCAAAAUAAUUUAAAUGCAUGAAUUAUCAGGUCCAUAUUCUGUAUGACUGCGACAAUAGGUCCAUUUUCUUUAACAAUUUAGUUUACAUCCACAUACACUUUUGGCAUUUCAGUACACAUUCGCAGUGCACACACCACAAAAUCUGCCCUUAAUUCUUCUACAAUUGUAGCAGCCAAACAGUCUAAGUUCACCUCUCUCACACAUAAACCUAACUAGUCGCUCGUCUCCUCCCAACUUCCCGCAUACAAAUGUGCACACAGAUUGGUCGCCUUGUGGCCGGAUUUUGUGCUUUUAGAAUAAGCUCCACAAUGGAUGCAGCCGACCAAGCAGAAAGCCCUCGACACAAGGUGGUGUGUAUGUUCAAACGCGGGCACUCAGCUGGACCUAAGCUCGGGAGCUUAGUUUUGCUCAUGCUAAUCCUCGUGCUUUGGGUUAUGCUCGUGCUUUCAGUCUCUCCAACAUUAUAAAUUUGGACAAAGAAAAAAGCGUAUAGUCAAAAUUCAAAUCUAAUAUGAAGAUUGAAGAAGGUAACUAGCUUUGAAUUCUACAAUUUGUUGAGUUCCUUCGACAUGGUUCUCUCAAGCGCCCUAAUAUAGUGUACUUGUUAUAUGUGUCGAUUACAAGUUCUUGAGCUCUACUUUUAGCUCAGUUUUAAGAACACCCAACAUGGUUUUUCAUUCAAGUAUUCAAGAACUCGAAAACAAAUUUAAGAAAUGUGAAUAUAUUGUAAAUCUGCACUACGUUUUCUCUUUUGGGACUGAUAAAUAUUUGUUUUAUUUGCAAUGAAUUUUUACCUUUAGUUUAUUAUUUUCUGGAAAAUCAAGUAAUGAAACAGCAUUUUGACACAUGCUUUAUUAUCUCUUUGCAGAUAAUUAGCAUUUGGUCUUUUAUGCCAAAUGAAUUAGCAUUUUAGCAUUUGGUUUUUAUGCAAUUAGUUUCGCUGCAUGGAAAUUGAGAUAAAGUUUCAGGAGGCGCGGUGCAAUCGAAAUCGCUUCUCCAACUUAUCAUCAAGGGCAUACCUGUCCCUAUAAAUAUAACCAAACAUCCAUAGCUUUUAAAAUUUUAAUUAAACUACUUUCUACAAUUUUUGUGCCACAUUCUUUAAACUGUCCUCUUUCUAAAUUAAAAAAAUAAUAUCCAAAACUCCUAAAUUUAGCCUUCUUUAUACGAAAAUUAUUAUUAUUAUUAUUAUUAAAUGUUAUUAAGCUCAUCCUAAUGUCUUAUCACUUCACUCAUUUUAAAAUAAUACUUUUAUUAACAAAUUUGUCCUUAUAUAAAAUGACCUUCAAAGACUUAAAAACCAACCAAUCAUAUCUUAUUACAAACCCCUUCACCUCCACAAUUAGGAUAAAUCAUUAGAUAAUUUAGUAUUACCAGAUCAGCACAUAACUUCCACUCAAAAUUAUAAAUUUUUGUGCCACAUUCUUUAAACUGUCCUCUUUCUAAAUUAAAAAAAUAAUAUUUAAAACUCGUAAAUUUAGCCUUCUUUAUACGAAAAUUAUUAUUAUUAUUAUUAUAAAGUGUUACUAAGCUCAUCCUAAUGUCUUAUCACUUCACUCAUUUUAAAAUAAUACUUUUAUUAACAAACCCCUUCACCUCCACAAUUAGGAUAAAUCAUUAGAUAAUUUAGUAUUACCAGAUCAGCACAUAACUUCCACUCAAAAUUUAUCACAUAUACAAUUAUUAUACAGCUGGACUUAAAACUUAUUUAACAUAAAAAUGAAAUAAAAAAAUAAAAAAUAAAAACUUGAAGAACCCAUAAUCACCACCCUCCCCGACCUCAGCCUCCACAAAUUCACCCCAUUUUAAUUUCCUACCUCACCGCUUCAACCCCAAACACUCCUGCUUCUUCCUCCUUCCCUCUCUUUCUCCUCUCCCUCUCUCUUAUGCACUGGCUGUCUCACCGAUCGUCUCGUUUGCCAUGGCUGAGACCUUCGCCAAAUCAUCGAGGCUGUGCUCGGACGUCAAGCCCAUGUCGUCCACUGAUCUCCUCUGCGGUCCUUCAACGACUCCAUCAAAUGGGGACUCGAGAACCAUCUCCCGAUUCCAAAAGCACGCCGUUGAGGCCGACCGAGGAUUUUGGGCGAGGAGGGGCGCUGGGGUGUGUUUUUUUUUUGGGGGGGGGGGGGGGGGGGGAAGGUGGUUGGGCUGAGGUUUGGGUUUUUUGGGGAGGGGACUAUUGUGAUAUUUGGAGUUGGAGUUGUUGGGUAUAUUAGUUUAAUGAUAAUUUUCUUUUUUGUUAAAUUAUAAUAAAUUUUGUAAAGAAAGGAAAAUUGGGAGAAGAAAUAUAUAGGGUUAUUUUGAGAAUAAUGGUGGGUGGGGAAAGAGUUUAUGUGUGUUUUGUCUUUUUAUGAUGGAUGUGAAUAUAAGGUAUGUAGGGAAAUAAGAAAAUGAGGUGGGUAUAACACCAAUCAUUAUUAUUAAUUCAAACAAAGAAAGAUAAUUAUUAAUUUAUUAAUCAAUGAUAUGUACCAAAAGUUUAAAUUAAGCAUACCAAAAACUGAAACCAACGUACUAAAAAUUAAAACUAAACGUAACAAACACUAAAAUUAAACAUUUCAAAAAAAUAUUUGAACAUAAAUGUGACGACCUUUCCCUAAUUUUCCUAUGUAAUUUAUCCCCGAGUAUGUUUAUUGACGAUUAUGCCCUUAUUGGCAAGUGACGUGGACUUAUUCUUAUGGCUUUCCUUUUUAUUUCUCGCUAUCGCAUUUAAAUUGUACAUGCUAGCACGAGUAUGCGUAAAUUUUGAAGUGUAAAAAUAUCUACUUUGGAUAGAUUUUGAUUUCCUUUUUCUGUAGGAAAUCUAAAAAAAAAACUAUCCUUGGAUUCCUUUUAAACUCAUCCCGUGCACUUCCCCCUUCAUUAUUCACUAUCACCUAUCACCUAUCCCAUCCCUUCUUUAUUUCCUGUUCCCUCAAUCAGAAAAGCAUCUCUCUCUCUCUCUCUCCCUCUUCCACACCACACUUCUUCUUCUUCCUUUCUGCAACAACCACAAAACACUCAAACGUGAAAAACAAAUUACACCAUUGUGAUCAUCUCAGUCCCACGAUCACAACCAUGUCCUUGAAAUCUGGUGUGGACGAGUUUUGACUCACCAACUCGAAAGGUUGACUCGGCGAGUUCGACAUAUCGAUUUUCAGGCCAUGCAUGGCUUAGGUAAGCCUUGAGAAACCCUUAGAACCUUCAUUUCACUUCUAUGAGUUGUUAUUGAUCAUUUGUUUGUGUUUUGAACGUGUGGUUUUACCCAAAAACUCGAGAAGAAAGAGAAUCUGCCAUUUUUCACUCAAGAACCAUGGUCAUUUGGUCACUUUCAAACCGUUUUUCUGGUCAACAUUGACCACAAUUGGAUUCUUCUAGGUACAAACUUGUUCUCUACAUUCUUAACUUCAAAAGGGCUUUUGAAUCACUGAGUUGGGUUGAGUAACGAGUUAGAAAUCAACUCUGGAAGUUGGGAAGAAAAUUUUAGUUUUCUGGAAAAUUUCAGCCGUGGUCGUUUGGCCACUUUCAGGCCAAAUUUCUGAACAACACGGACUAUAUUCGAACUUUCUGUAAAUUGGGAUUGGUAGAUCACAUUCCUAGCUUUAAUUUGGCUUUUGUAGAAGUGAAUAUGGUUGAGAAUCGAGCUCGUUAUGGGCUCUGGAAGUUGGGCAAAAAAUCUGCAAAACUGUAGAUUUUCGCAAAGAAGGCGAGUAUAAUGUACUCGCGGGGGCG
RNAcentral lists this long non-coding RNA (6439 nucleotides) under Malus domestica (apple). RNAcentral describes it as "long non-coding RNA (MDOM_LNC011084)". The record is from RNAcentral. Lineage: Eukaryota; Viridiplantae; Streptophyta; Magnoliopsida; Rosales; Rosaceae.